This is a long non-coding RNA of Cyanistes caeruleus (blue tit), 1779 nucleotides long. RefSeq lists it as uncharacterized. The record is from RefSeq and is a predicted model, not a curated record. NCBI's taxonomy places the organism in Eukaryota, Metazoa, Chordata, Aves, Passeriformes, Paridae.
UGGGGGGGUGAAGCUCCUGUGAGGGGUCCGUGGGUGAAGCCCCUCCAUGGGCAGAGCCCCGCACAGAGCGAGCUUUGUGUGCUGCGCUCACGUGAGGCACUCGGGGCCCUCGGAAUCCCCGAGGGAUCGGUCAUUGAGGUUGGAAAAGACCUCUGAGGUCAUCGCGUCCGGCUUGUGACCGAUCACCAGCUUCUCCACCAGACCACAGCGCUGAGGUGCCACGUCCAGUAUUUCCUUACACAUACAGGGAAUAAUGACCAGCAAGGUGACCCUGCUAGAGGAAGCCUUCCAGGCCUUCUGGCUGCUCGGUGCAAAGGCACUCCACAAGCCUGGGUGCGCUCGGAGGGAGGUGAGGGCGCAAUGUUUGCGCAGCAGGAAGCUGAGCCAGGGUGGGGAGAAGGUGUUUAGUGAUACAGGCAUGCAGCAGGUAUCACAGCACUCACCCACCCCUGCACACCUGCCCUCUGCUCUGUGCCAGGUAGGAGGGUGCCUUCCCAUUCUGCAGUCCUUGUGGAAGAUACAGGUUUAGUGACAGCACAUCACUCGGACAGGAUAUGAAGGAUUGCAGAUAAACCAGGAUUUUGGGCUACAGGGUUUAUCAAAUAUUGCAGUGCUGCAGGCUGGGAUUUAUCGUCUCCCCAGGCUCGGUUCCUGUUUGCCUUUGCUGAAAUCCUUCUGAAGGGUGACAGCAUUCAAGUACAUUAGAACUGUAAGCAGGCAAAGUACAGAAGUCAGGAUUUCUUAUUACAGGAGAAUUGGAAUAAAAAAAUUUGUGAAGAUUAUGGGGGAAACCAUGUAAUGAUGAAUAAGAAGUCAGGCUCCAGUCUUGGGGAGAGCUGGCAUCCAGACUAGUUUAAAUAAGAUGUUAAUGUAUUUUCUUUUCUAUUUAAACUUGAUCUUGACUUUUCUUCUGGUACCUCAUAUCCUUUUAUGGUCAGUUGCACUGUACUCAUGCAUAUUUAUUAGAUUUACACAUAUUUUGCAAGUCACCUUCACAUCUUAUUUUCUUUUCCCGGACAAACUGGUUGGUUAUGUACACACUGAAUUUGCAAAUCUCAUCUCUGGUGUCCAUUAACCCCUGUUAGUCUGGUUGCUCAAUGUGCAGAUAAGUUUUGGGGCUUAUUUGCAAUUUAACUUCCUUCUGCAUAUUAAGCACAGCCAAUAUACUUCUGUUUAGUUUUCACAACCCAGAUUCCUUCACACAUGGAAAUGACCUGCAGAUUCAGCAUCCUGGCAUUGAAACAGCUGUUCUGUUGGAGAGAUCAGUGCCCCUGCUGUCUGAGAGAGAGCAGGAAUUAGGUGUUUGUAAGGUAUUCCUUCCUUUCAGGGAGCUGCAGGUGUGAGAAGGUUUAUUUACCUGCACAUAUUUUCCUUGCCUUAAGCUCACAGUGAAGCUGGAAUAGAAGAGGCAGAUAUUAUUUUUCCUCCCCAGACUAAACCACAUCUCUGAAACCGAGCUAGAAGCACUUUCUGUUUGCUUGUGGCACUUCCAGACCUGCUGAAGGCCUAGAAAGUGCAGCCACUGAAACACACAGAGUUGGUUACUGAGGCAGAGGUUGGUGUGGCAGGAGACAAGUUGUUGGAAUAAACACAGCUGUGUUUUUUCCAUCGUUGUGUGCUCAUUUUCUGGGUCAGGCAGCCACAGACCCUGGCUGUGCAAAGGUGCAGGGUAAACCCCUGUCCCUUGGGGAAGUGCUGGAACUGUAGGAUCUACUCUGGGAUUUCACCUUGGAUGGGGUUCACUGUUGUUUAAAUCAAAUAAAGCUGUGGUUAUCCCUA